Molecule: ribosomal RNA, 278 nt
Filed under: Mucilaginibacter sp.
Lineage: Bacteria; Pseudomonadati; Bacteroidota; Sphingobacteriia; Sphingobacteriales; Sphingobacteriaceae
Description: partial 23S ribosomal RNA
Rfam family: Bacterial large subunit ribosomal RNA
Source: RNAcentral
GGUCCCUAUCUGUUGUGGGCGCAGGAAGUUUGAGUGGGGCUGACCUUAGUACGAGAGGACCGGGUUGGACUAACCUCUGGUGAAUCUGUUAUGGCGCCAGCUGUAUUGCAGAGUAGCUACGUUGGGAAUAGAUAAGCGCUGAAAGCAUCUAAGUGCGAAACUAGCCACAAGAUGAGACUUCCAUUGAGGGUCGUAGCAGACUACUACGUUGAUAGGUUACAGGUAUAAAGGUGGUGACAUCAUAGCCGAGUAAUACUAAUCGCCCGAAGCUUUCUCAU